RNAcentral lists this ribosomal RNA (374 nucleotides) under uncultured organism. RNAcentral's name for it is "partial 16S ribosomal RNA". It matches the Rfam family "Bacterial small subunit ribosomal RNA", at positions 527 to 896 of the family's 1533-position model. The record is from RNAcentral.
GUAGGUGGCAAGCGUUGUCCGGAAUUAUUGGGCGUAAAGCGCGCGCAGGCGGUUCUUUAAGUCUGAUGUGAAAGCCCACGGCUCAACCGUGGAGGGUCAUUGGAAACUGGAGAACUUGAGUACAGAAGAGGAAAGCGGAAUUCCACGUGUAGCGGUGAAAUGCGUAGAGAUGUGGAGGAACACCAGUGGCGAAGGCGGCUUUCUGGUCUGUAACUGACGCUAAGGCGCGAAAGCGUGGGGAGCAAACAGGGAUUAGAUACCCUGGCAGUCCACGCCGUAAACGAUGAGUGCUAAGUGUUAGGGGGGUUUCCGCCCCCUUAGUGCUGCAGCUAACGCAUUAAGCACUCCGCCUGGGGAGUACGGCCGCAAGGCUG